RNAcentral lists this ribosomal RNA (253 nucleotides) under uncultured bacterium. RNAcentral describes it as "partial 16S ribosomal RNA". It matches the Rfam family "Bacterial small subunit ribosomal RNA", at positions 524 to 776 of the family's 1533-position model. The record is from RNAcentral.
UACGGAGGGUGCAAGCGUUAUCCGGAUUCACUGGGUUUAAAGGGAGCGCAGGCGGAUUGGUAAGUCAGUGGUGAAAUACCUGAGCUUAACUCGGGAACUGCCAUUGAUACUAUCAGUCUUGAAUAUUGUUGAGGUAUGCGGAAUGGGUCAUGUAGCGGUGAAAUGCAUAGAUAUGACCCGGAACACCAAUUGCGAAGGCAGCAUGCUAAACAAAGAUUGACGCUGAGGCUCGAAAGCGUGGGGAUCAAACAGG